AUGGGGGCCCAUUUAAGCUCAGGAUGGGGCUAUGCUGUUGUGCUGUAUGGAGCCUUGUUGCUGGCUAGAGUUGUUGGGUAGCCCCCAAGCUUGGCUUGCUGCUGCUAAGAGACCUUGUUGGCAGCUCUGCCUGCUAUGUUUAGAUCCUUGUGAAGCUGAGCUCCACUGGCAGCUUCAAUUGCUGUGUUCUCUGACCAAGAAGACAAGCUUCUGACCUCUGCCACUAAUGCCAAUAGGCAAUCAGACUACAUAUAAUGCUGCAAGUAACGAUUUACUCUACUGCCUAUAAUCAAAAAUCGUACAGCAGUCCCAUCCUGAAAUUCAGCACACUGACUUUAUAAUAAGUAUGAGAUGGCUACUGAAUUAAUGUGGGAACUUGUAUUAUGUUUUUUUUUUUUUUUUUUUUUCUUUCCGAAAACCUCAACCUAUUAUCAGAACAUCCAACGUAUGUAAAAAUAUUAGAUGGCUUUUGAACACUUCUGAAAUUUUCACUGGUUAACUAAAGAAAAGAUUUCCUUAGAGUAAGUUCCAUCAUCAUCACAAAUAUUUUUCCUGCUUUACAGAAGAUAAACAUUUUGAAAGAAGGAAAAGAUGGAAUAAGAACUUGUGUGUCUAGGGCCCGAAUGUCUUUAUGUAUUCUGACAAUUCCUAUUCAGUUUACAGACAGGUUCAGAGGUGAAAACAAUUGCUCAGUACUGAAAAGCUGGAAAAAAUAACACUUCCAAAUUAAAAUGUUAGUCAAACUGAGUAUUGAUGUUGACAUUGAUUAAGCCACCAGCUUUAAAGAAAAUUUUCAGAUCUUCAAGUUUUGUGAAAGUACUGGUAUUCCAGCAGGAUCAACCCCAUGGGGUAUGUUUGUUCCUCUCUGCCUGAAUAUACUGUUAUGCCUAAGUAAACUAUUAUGUUUAAGCAUCCUCUUCAUAUACCAUCAAGUUAAGGUUGUUAUAGACGUCUUAUGCUUCCCAGUUUCAAAAUUGGACUUCAAUAAGGGGGAAAGAAGUAGAGGGAGGAACAAAUUGGAAUGAUGUUUGAUGGGAAGUUGUUUUUUGUUGAUAAUGGCCUAAGAAUACACUCUCAUAAGGAUCCCUUUUUUGUGUUUCCAGAAUCCUGUUGUGCUCCUGCCUAAAUAUAAGUACCUAGUGGCCUAAUGUUCUUCUGUUAUUGAAACAUAACAGCACUGAAAGUGUGAUGUAAUCUCUGAAGGCUGGAAAAACAAAGGAAAGACACUUUUUUAGAUUGUUUUCUCAUUCUGCUAUACUGGAAAACACCAGAAUGAUGUUGCUAAGUAUCUUGAUCCAGUAGACCAAGAUUUUUUCUUGUCUCUAAUAUAUCUAAACAUUACAUCUACCUAAUUGUUCUAAAGAAAUACGUAUUUUUCAAGGUAACUACACUAUUAUUCUGAUAUUGCACUACUUGGGAUAUUUAUUUCUCUUCAAAGUAUAGCAGACAAAAAUUAUUUAUGAACCACAGCCUGUGCUAUGUUUCUUGCUGUUUUUGCCUCGACCUCAGUAGUACUUAGUAGUCAGGUAUCAACUAAUUUCACUGUGAUCUCUGGUUAUUCAGGCCUCCAGAAAAUUACAUUUCAUGUCAUUUGUAUUGAAAACAUACAUAGAAUUUCCGGAUGUUGAUGCACAGGUAACAACUUUGCAGGGCAAAAUGUAGAACUUCUGAUUUUCAGAUGUUCAUCUGGUGGCAAGAUUUAGCUCUGGAAGUAAGCACUUCACAUUACGAGGUAUAAUUACUAAGCUGCCAACCUAUCUACUUAUUAGAAUGACAAUUAGUGUGCUACCUUUUGUGCUAGUUGUGUUUAGCACUUGAAGGAAUAUAGGGUCUAUGCUGACCACACAAAUACUAAGAUGUGAGUUAGACUCUCUAUUCAGUUCCAUUUAGUGUUUUUGAUACUACAACAAUUACAUAGAGGAAAAAUAAAACUUCCUUGCAGAAAUCUUAAUAUACAGUGCCGCAGUAUGAAAAAUAGAAGAGAAUAAUAUUCUAAAACUGCCAUUAAGAACUUGAACCCAACUGAAAAGAAACUCUGGCUCAGUAUAACAGCAUACUGAAUAAUCACUUCUUCAAACAUCCAAGUGAUCAACUUUUAUUCUUCUGUAAUCUUCUUUAUUUGUUCCUGUUCCAUACAAGACAACCCACGUUUUACACGUAACACAAUGUCUGUUUAUGGAUUUACAUUGCAUUAAGAAAAGGGAAGUAAUUAUCUACUGUCAUAUGCCCCAUCAAAAUUAGUCAGUUCAUUUGGUUGGUUUUAGCUAUACAACAGCUAAAAUAUAUAUACAGCUAUACAGAAAAAUAGGAAAUCAAUUGAAUUGCUAAUAUGCUUUGAUCUAAUAUGUGUUUUGAUUAAACUGGGGUAACAUACUGUAAUUCAAUCCACAGAUUUCAUUAAAAAAAAAAAAAAGCCACCUUUCUAAACUGUGGCUUCCAUUUGAGAUGUUGGGGUAUAAAUCCUUUAAGUAGGGAAGACCAAAAUCAACUGUAAUUCAGUUUUCAGAUAAAACAAAUACAUUUUUGUCUGAAAAGAUUAACAUAUUCAUUUUUCCUGCCAUUUAUCUUAAACAUUGUCAUUCUGUUUAUCUUACUAGACAUUCUGUCAUUGUAAAUAACUGUAAGACUUUCAGACUUCUAGCACUACAAAAGAGAUGUUCCUGCGGUAAAUUGCAAACACCAUCUAAAAGCACAGGAUGUACUAUUUCAGGCUACUAUGAAAUAAAAUUACUCCAUAUUGUACCUGUUGCUUUUAGGAGAAAUUUAGGGUGGUAGAUGUAAUAACAACAGAAUAAUUUAGUGGUUGGAGUACAUAAAAGAUGUAUUCUUGGCACUGUCAGUUAGGUGGGUAUAUUUAUCUCAGACUCAAUUCCUUCAUACAACUCUUGAAGUAGGUCAAUAUUACCUUUUAAAAACAGUUAGAGAUCAUCCACUGAAAUACCGUAAUAACUUCAGAUGAUUAUAUUACAAUCAUCACAAGUUCACAGUAAGAAGUGAUAAAACAGCUCUGAUAUCCAUUAUUAAGAAAAAAAAAAAAA
Molecule: non-coding RNA, 3038 nt
Organism: Anas platyrhynchos (mallard)
Lineage: Eukaryota; Metazoa; Chordata; Aves; Anseriformes; Anatidae
Source: RefSeq, a predicted model, not a curated record